RNAcentral lists this ribosomal RNA (620 nucleotides) under uncultured Kocuria sp. Its description in RNAcentral is "bacterial SSU rRNA". It matches the Rfam family "Bacterial small subunit ribosomal RNA", at positions 444 to 1075 of the family's 1533-position model. Lineage: Bacteria; Bacillati; Actinomycetota; Actinomycetes; Micrococcales; Micrococcaceae. The record is from RNAcentral.
GAAGAAGCGAAAGUGACGGUACCUGCAGAAGAAGCACCGGCCAACUACGUGCCAGCAGCCGCGGUAAUACGUAGGGUGCAAGCGUUGUCCGGAAUUAUUGGGCGUAAAGAGCUCGUAGGCGGUUCGUCGCGUCGGCUGUGAAAACCUGAGGCUCAACCUCAGGCCUGCAGUCGAUACGGGCGGACUGGAGUUCGGCAGGGGAGACUGGAAUUCCUGGUGUAGCGGUGAAAUGCGCAGAUAUCAGGAGGAACACCGAUGGCGAAGGCAGGUCUCUGGGCUGUUACUGACGCUGAGGAGCGAAAGCAUGGGGAGCGAACAGGAUUAGAUACCCUGGUAGUCCAUGCCGUAAACGUUGGGCACUAGGUGUGGGGGACAUUCCACGUUCUCCGCGCCGUAGCUAACGCAUUAAGUGCCCCGCCUGGGGAGUACGGCCGCAAGGCUAAAACUCAAAGGAAUUGACGGGGGCCCGCACAAGCGGCGGAGCAUGCGGAUUAAUUCGAUGCAACGCGAAGAACCUUACCAAGGCUUGACAUUCACCGGACCGCCUCAGAGAUGGGGUUUCCCUUCGGGGUCGGUGGACAGGUGGUGCAUGGUUGUCGUCAGCUCGUGUCGUGAGAUGU